GACGAACGCUGGCGGCGUGCUUAACACAUGCAAGUCGUACGGUAAGGCCCUUUCGGGGGUCCACGAGUGGCGAACGGGUGAGUAACACGUGAGUAACCUGCCCACAACUGGGAUAACGCUAGGAAACUGGUGCUAAUACUGGAUAUGUGCUCCUGCUGCUUGGUGGGGGUUGGAAAGCUCCGGCGGUUGUGGAUGGAAUCGCGGCCUAUCAGCUUGUUGGUGGGGUAGUGGCCUACCAAGGCGGCGACGGGUAGCCGGCCUGAGGGGGUGAACGGCCACAAUGGGACUGAGAUACGGCCCAGAACUCCACGGGGGGGAGGAGGGGGGAAUAUUGGAAAAUGGGCGCGAGCCUGAUGCAGCAACGCCGCGGGGGGGAUGACGGCCUUCGGGUUGGAAACCGCUUUCAGCAGGGACGAAGCUGUUUGUGACGGUACCUGCAGAAGAAGCACCGGCUAACUACGUG
This 463-nucleotide ribosomal RNA is filed under the name uncultured bacterium. Its description in RNAcentral is "partial 16S ribosomal RNA". It matches the Rfam family "Bacterial small subunit ribosomal RNA", at positions 28 to 507 of the family's 1533-position model. The record is from RNAcentral.